CAGCAUUGCCUUGACUGAUCAGGACUCCUCAGUGCACCUUCUCACUAUGAGGCUCCGUGCUCAGCUCCUGGGGCUGCUAAUGCUCUGGGUCCCUGGAUCCAGUGGGGACGUUGUGAUGACCCAGACUCCACUCUCCCUGCCCGUCACCCCUGGAGAGCCAGCCUCCAUCUCCUGCAGGUCUAGUCAGAGCCUCCUGCAUAGUAAUGGAAACACCUAUUUGCAUUGGUACCUGCAGAAGCCAGGCCAGUCUCCACAGCUUCUAAUCUAUAAAGUUUCCAACAGGGCCUCUGGGGUCCCAGACAGGUUCAGUGGCAGUGGGUCAGGGACAGAUUUCACACUGAAAAUCAGCCGUGUGGAGACGGAGGAUGUUGGAGUUUAUUACUGCAUGCAAGGUACAAAAAAUCCUCCCACAGUGCUACAGCCCUGAACACUAACCUCUCUGCUUGAAGUAGCCCAGCUGCUCACGCGCGUUGUUUGUCUGGGGAGGAGCACAGCAAGUUCUCUGAGUCUGUGCAUGAGGAAAAUGUUGGACAAC
Cebus imitator (Panamanian white-faced capuchin) is the source of this 535-nucleotide non-coding RNA. The record is from the annotation of a RefSeq genome assembly. Lineage: Eukaryota; Metazoa; Chordata; Mammalia; Primates; Cebidae.